RNAcentral lists this unclassified non-coding RNA (200 nucleotides) under Ciborinia sp. RNAcentral describes it as "partial internal transcribed spacer 2". The record is from RNAcentral. Lineage: Eukaryota; Fungi; Ascomycota; Leotiomycetes; Helotiales; Sclerotiniaceae.
UCCGAGGUCAACCAUAAAAAAUUUGGGGUUUAAUGGCAGAGGCACGCGGGGAACCUGUAGCGAGAAGAAUUACUACGCUCAGGACCCAACGGCACCGCACACUGAUUUUAAGGCCCGCCAUUUUACUGGCGGAGGCCCAAUACCAAGCAGAGCUUGAGGGUUGAAAUGACGCUCGAACAGGCAUGCCCCCCGGAAUACCA